UAAAAUUCAAAUAAUGAAUGUUUUUCUUCGUGGAAUGGUAAGAAUAUUUCUAUAAGGUGAAAGAUGGAAUGUUCCAUUCAAUGAGGCGACAGCCGAGUUGAAUGGAACAUUCCAUCUUUCACCGAAUGAAAAUAUUCUUACCAUAUUAUAUUGCACGGUCGAAGAAAAACAUUCAUUAUUUGUUUUAUA
This is a non-coding RNA of Paramuricea clavata, 189 nucleotides long. The record is from the annotation of a GenBank genome assembly. Lineage: Eukaryota; Metazoa; Cnidaria; Anthozoa; Malacalcyonacea; Plexauridae.